GUGCUUGCUUCGGGGGCACAUGUACUAAAAUUGGAACAAUACAGAGAAGAUUAGCAUGGCCCUUGCACAAGGAUGACAUGCAAAUUCAAGAAGUGUCUCAUAUUUUC
Small nuclear RNA from Choloepus didactylus (southern two-toed sloth), 107 nucleotides. NCBI's taxonomy places the organism in Eukaryota, Metazoa, Chordata, Mammalia, Pilosa, Megalonychidae. The record is from RefSeq and is a predicted model, not a curated record.